Molecule: long non-coding RNA, 7202 nt
Organism: Bombus terrestris (buff-tailed bumblebee)
Lineage: Eukaryota; Metazoa; Arthropoda; Insecta; Hymenoptera; Apidae
Exons: 4
Source: RefSeq, a predicted model, not a curated record
GUUCUUCUGCGUCGCCUUCGACCGGAUCCCUCUUUUCUGCUCGGAGGAGCUUGACGAGGGGGCGGGCUGCAGGUCACGCAGGACAUCUGCCAGUGGCCCACUGUAGGAUUUCUGCUGGGUUCUGGGAUCGCUGAUAACGGUUUCCAGCGGUUCUUUUGUGCGAUUGGGGUACCUGAAAUAAGUAGCAGCAGAUAUUUAUUGUGCGUUUCAAUGCUUUCGCAUAUAAUAUAUAGUCUAAUAAUAUUCCGAUGGGAUAGGUGAAAUGAUAAACGUCCCUUAAAUUAAACGAAAAUUAAAACGAAAAAAAACGAGAGACACGGAGGAAAAUAUCGUCUCUCGAAAUUCAUCUGGAACUUGUAAAUAUUUUCGUUGGAUUGUUUUUGUUGUUUUCUGCUAGUUUUAUUGAUCUAGAAUAUUCGAGUUUACGCUGUUUUGCUGGUCACAUAAUUGACGGAUAAAUGAAAGCUGUUUUCGGUUUGCAAGCUCACAUAGGAACCAUAUAUUUGAGGUAGCAUAAAAAUAAUAUUAAUACAUUAACGACUACUGACGUAAUAUCGCGUCUCUCCAAGGCGAAAACAUGUCCAAGUAUAAGCUAGUCGUGCCAAGCUGAUUAUGAAUAUCUACAAGGAAAGAAGGAUCUCUUGUGUUUAGUUUAAUUAAUAAUAAUAACCGAUGUAAAGUACUUCAGACUUUGAAAAUAAUAAUAUAAUCAUAAUUGUCGAAACUUGUCAUUUUGAAAUUUCAGGAUUUUCGUACAAUUACUGGCUGUGAGUAUGUUAAGAUACAAUGUACGAUAUCUUAGUGAAACGGCUUCUUAGUGACGACUUCUUAGUGAAACGUUAAAAAUGAUCGAACUAUCUUCGUUUCAAACGAAUGACCGCACUUUUGGAAGUAUAUUUUCUCAAACCUUUUUUUAUCCACCAUAUGGAAGUUAUUCGACGAAUUAACGCGUUGGUCAUGCAUGUAAAUGUAUUUCAAAUCGAAGGUAAUUUUAUUUCGAUGCGAAUAACUUUCCUUUUCCUUCUAUUAAGGCUUUUCAUUGCAGUAACCUACAUACAACUUUAGGAAUCCAAUUAUUUCUUGGAUUGGAUUAAAGUAACUUUAAAUCAACAUUUAUAUUCCCUUUAUACUUCAUGUUCUUUAUUGUUAUAUGGAGAUCGAAUGAUAUAUACGUAUACUCUUCCUCUUAUGUAAAUCAAAGUAUCAUGGUCCAGGUACUUUAUUUUGUUUCUUUAUAUGCAAUUCGUUUCCACAAUGAAGAAUAUGAUGACCUAUUAAAGUCUUCUAUUUUGCUGGUGCAUUUAUAAUAAAUUCAAUCUUUCCAAAAAUAUACGCAGCGUUAAGAAAAAUAAGUUAAGUCUCUAAAGGUUUACAUUCGCUAACAAGGGAAGCUUCUGAUUUGACCCUCACCGAUUUCAAUAAAAGCUCUCAUCUGUUUCCUUUCACGAGUAUUGUACUAUUCUACUGUAGAAAAAAAAGAAGAGCGAUAAACGCAAAACAUGUAAAACAAGUUUCUUUGUAUCUUUCAAUAGUUGUGGAUAUUUCGUAACAUAGAUUUUGUUUAUUAAUGUUCGCUAUCAAGUUUUCGUAGAAGCAUAUGUCUAAUAUUGGAAGGGACGUAAGAAAGCGUCUAUGAUGGAUUAUCACGCUGGCAGAGCGACGAUUUCGAUCUUUAUAACCGGAAUCCAGAAAUCGGGUUUGCCGAUUUCAAUAUGGAACAAUGCCAAAAUAGCGGAGAUUUGCAUGAUCUCUUACAAAGUAUGAAUAUUGAACGAUCUUGCACGUAUUCGUGAAAUAUAAUAUAAGCGAGAGAUUUAUCAUUGUUAUUGGAAUUUGGGAGUAUUUUUGUUCCAUUUCCAUUUUAAAUACCAGUGAUUUAUCGUAGUCGUUACUUAUUAAUCAAAACUUUAAGACUUGAAUAAUUGAAUAUAGGUUGUGCCAAUCUCAAUAUCGAUAUCUGUUUUUUCUGAUUUAGAUAUUGAAAGAACGCUAAGCACAGAAUAACAUUAUUUUUAUUCUCUGCGUAGAAGAUAAUAUAAUUUCUAUACUUCUACGUCAUAAAUGUUUGUUAUUAUGAAAUAAUUACAUAACCGUAGAGACAAAUGAUUUAACACAAAUUCGAUGCAACUAGAUUAAUUUACAAUAGAUAAAUUUAUGAAAACAGAUUUAAAUAUGUUUGAUGGGUGAUAAUGGUUAUUAUAAAAGUUGAUAAACUGUUCGUUCGUUCGACCGUUUUCACUGAAGUAAUAAAAUAUCAAAUGCAUGCAAAUUACCGGUUCUUUCUGCAAUUGUCGUCUAUUCGCCUCCUCCUCGUCGCUGGAACUCUCGCUUUCGCUUAAAUCGGAGCUGAAAUAACACUCGCCGGAACCGUACUUGGUGAAAUAAUGCACCACCGCGAAUUGUAUAAUAGUGGCAAAAAUGAAAGCGAAAGAAAGAAAAACGAAGAAGUCCAGGGCAGUGGGGUAAGGAACUUUAGGCAAAUCUGUCCGCGCCUCCAAUCCCAGAAACGUCAUCGUUAAUACGGUUGUUAUGCCUUUAAACAAAUAUGAAAGGACUUUUAUUUAUAUUUCAUUCAAUUGUCAAGUUAUCAAAGAAUAUACGUAUUCGGCUCCAAAAUAUAAUUUUUAAAAUGACUCGAAACCAACGCAGUCGUUAUUGUUUAUAUAAUUGAGAUAAAACAACGAAUGUGUUACAUUUGUCGCAGUGCUCUGUCGAUUAUCUUACAGUUUGUUUUAUCAUUCAUUUGAACAACAGAUAUGUUGCAAAUAAUCGAAGUAUGAUUUUAUCCAAUUCCCAACGAUAAAAUGUUUUGGCAAAUAUGUUUUUUGUGAAUUUAAUAAAGAAAAAUCUAAUUAUUAGAAGAAGACAGAAGAAAGACUAUUUUACAUCGUUUUACAAAUAAGAUGAAGUCAUUAUAUGAUUUAAUAAAUAGACGGAUAGAAAUUCCUUUUGCCGAAUAAAAUCAAUAUAAAACUGUCUGAAAUUUCCAAUCGACGUAACAAGUUAAAUAUCCGGUAAAAGCAUCACUAUAAUUAUAUACUUCUGGUACUAUUUCUACCACGCGAUUAACCUUCGUUGUCAUUUAAAAAAUCCGAUUAAUUUUUAUUUAUUUGCUUCUAGCGUACGUAUAUCUGUGAAACAUGGCCUAGCUAUGAGCUUACCCAGUGAUACACGAUCUGCAGUGGCUUCUCGAUUUAACCAGAAGGAGACCCAAGAUAGGACCACGAGUAAAACACAGGGCCCGUAUACUUGUAUAAGGAAAUUACCCAUGUGCCUCUGCAGAUGAAAAUAUACCAGCAGCAUCGAAUAUUCCGCUGAAGUGAAAAUCUAGGGCAGUCCGAUAAACUGUGCUGUAUGGUUAUAGGUGAGCCACAAGAUUGGCAUUCAGGAGAUGAUUGUUUUGUUAACAACUACUCGUGCGUAAGUCUGGAAUGGUCGGUGCGAAUGCGGGUGAGGGCGGCUUAGUUCUGAUUAGUGCUGAGACGUUGGGUAUUUCUUGCACGCUAGAUCGUACUGUGCGAAGUUUUGUAUGGGGGUUGUUGAGCCAUAAACAGUUCUAAAAUUUGCUAGCGGCUUCUUCGAUAACGGUUUUAGCAUCGUGGAAGUUAGGUCUGAUUUUUCUUCACGGUGAAUAAGUUUUGACGGCCUUUUGAUUUCUAUAUGACUGGGAAUCCAUAUCAAUUUUAUGCUAUACUGUUUAUUUCAAUGAUCGAAUGGAUUUCUAUUUAUGACGCUACGUGUUAGGACGUUUUCGAUGGCUUGAGGUUUACAGGAUAAAAAAGAGAAGGUAUAAUCUGCGUGUAGAAGUAAAAUUGUUUCUAACAAAUAUUUAUUAUAUUACCCUUAAUAUUUCGUUACAAUAUAAUGGUAAAUAUAUAGAACCUAAUCUGUCCUCUUUUCCUUGUUAUACUAUAAUUCACAUUUGUAAUCUAUCUUUUAUACUUCGAAUGAAAAAAAGAGAAAGAGGAUUACAUACUAAUAUAAUGCAAUUUCACUCAUAAAACUAAUAAAUCGAGUUAAUUCAAUAUUCCACGAUCCUCUUCGUUCGGUCCACCUUCAGCUAUUGUUCGAUAUGUAUAUAAUAUUUAUCUUCUACUCGUUUCAAUUUUCAUCUGUAGUUGAGUUCAACAUCGAAUAUCAACAAGGUUCGAUCGGAAUCGAAAUCAAACAGGGUCGCGAUCAUUAGUUUCCUCGGUUACGCACAAACCAUAUCCUAGCGUCCAACGUAGCAGCUAGUCACUCUGUUUGUCCCGCACUUUUUCCUCGAUAACGAGUACAAUAUACAAGGAACAACCGUAUCAAACACCAACCUGUACUGUCUCUUUCUAUUUUCUACGUAUUAUCCCUGGCAAUCGUGUUUCAAUUUGCCCAACGCAAACAGAAACGAUGUCAUGCAUACACGUGAAUGUUUGCGCCACGUUCACGGAUCCUUAAAAAAUUCUUACCACCCUAUUGAUGCAAUCACAGUGACGACGCGACGAUUGUUUGCGGAGUAUUAAUCGAUGCUAAUCCAAUUAAAAGUGGAAGUCGUUGCCAGUCGGCGUUUCCCCUCUCGUUUCUCGUUAUCAGCCGAUGGAAAUACAAGAGGGACGAGAGUUUUCUGCAGGAGGAUGCUGCAAUUAGUCGUCGUUUCUUCCGUUGCCAACUUUCAACGUGGAACCUCUUUUCUUCAUCCUCCUUCUCCUGUUUCAUCCCCUAUCUUCUUCCAUUGCUUUUCCUCCAUCUUUUCCUUUUUCUUUACGUCGUCGUUUUCUCGCACCACUUGUCGGUCCGCUCGAAUCCCACCCACUUUCGGGCUGAUUCAUUCGUACCUUCGAUAUUCCUGUAGAAUCCGUAAGCGUGGCCCGAUAAAAGUUUCCAAUCGAGUUCCUUUGCAGUCGUUAAGAGACAAUUCCUUCCUCUCGUUCCUCUAAUUCGAACAAGCCUUAGCCACCGACAUUCUUCGACGACUCUUAUCAUGGCUAUACGUUUCUCUUUCGAUUAUACUUCCGUCGUCUAUCUUUUCCUUCCUCGGUUUGAUCCUUGAUACAUCGCGUCGUCGAUAAGGAUUUUUCGCUGAAAUCUAUUCUUAAAUGGAGUUUCCUUUCAUGGGUUAUCGCCUGGCGUACAAGUACGGUUCUUUAGGUAGACAAUUCUGAAAAUAUUUUGAAAGAUGAGAAAGAACAGGUCGAAGAUGAAUGUUGAAGUAUUACGGAUAGAUUAUUGUCUGGUAUACGAGUAUUAUUAUGUCGUAUGAAGCGUGAUUUUUGAGGGAGGCAACUUGGGAAAUAUUUUUAAAGAUGAGAAAGGAUAGAUCGAAGGUGGAAGCUGAAAGUAUUAUGGAUAGGUUAUCGUGUGGAAUACAAAUGGUUGUCGUGUUAUACCAAAUACGAUUUUCGAGGGGGUCAAUUUUGAAAGUAUUUUUCAAAUGAGAAUGGAUAGGUUGAAAGUUGAGGUAUUAAAGAUAUUAAAACUAUGAAACGAAGAUUGUUGGGACCGAACCAAUUGGGACCGAACAUUUCCUUUGUCUUAUUCAAAGUGAUUUUGCCAGUUUUUCGGUUAUGAAGUUUAUGCUAGCACUGCGCGACAACGGAUUGGUUGUUGUUUAUCGUUCAAAAUGCUGAUUUAAGCCGUGAUUACCAGAUCGUUGUGUAAUGAAUCGGGUGCUAUUGGGUUAAUAGGUUCGGUCAUCAUUGGAAUCGUCGAUUGUCGGCGUCACUGUUUAUGUGUUCGUCGAUGGCUGGAGGAUGGAGUUGGGGACGAGUUCGUUCGUGGUGUCUUCGAUUUGUGGUUUGUUGUAGAUUUCCGAUGACGAGAUGAUGAGGUGGGUGUCAAGAAUCGACUGUUUGACGGAAAGGAGGCUCGGCUGAAUGUUGCGGGAUGAGCUCUUGCGUGGUGUUGAGGCCUAUGUAGCAUCGUGUGAUGCCGUUGUCCACACCUAUGACAUAAUCCGGCGUAACAAUCUUGCACUGAAUGUCCUUUCCUCAGGUAAUUGAUGCAUAAGGAUGUCCUUGUAACGUUCUUAAGGCGCUCGCCAACUGGUUUAGCCUUGAAGUUGUCACAUUUCCAAAUGGAGUGUGGUCCUCGGCAGAUUGGACAUGUCAACGGAGCCUGUGUCGCGGCAAAUGCGUGCUUCCGUCGCGCACAUUGACAGACCGAAUUGGGUUGAUUCGGUGCGAUGAUCCUCUUGUCGUCGAGACCUCGGAGGAUGGUGUGAAGAUAAGUGCCAAAUUCUUGAGGAAGUCCAAUAAAUGAGUAUAAUGAGGCACUUCCUUGUUAGGUAACGUAAGUUCCCAUUGUUUAAUGAUAUUUGCUGGUAAUUUCGAACUGAUGAGGCUGAUUAGUAUGGCGUUUAUAUUGGUUUGUUCUCCUAAAUUCUUUAAUGAGCAGAGAUUUUGGCUGAUCGAGCAGAUUAAAUGCCACAAGGGCGUUGGACAUUGUUUACUUACUUUUGGAUACUGAACGAUUGCGUGGCUGUGUUUUAAAGCGACGUAUCGUGGAUGCUCGAACCUGUUCUUGAGAAUGGCUAUAGCGGUAAUGUAAUUUGCGUCGCUGAUGGGUAAUACAUUCACGCAGUCCGCUGCUUUUCCCGUUAGGAGGGAUCGAAGGUAUAGGAAUUUUUGUACAGGUGUGAGGUAGUGGUUGUCGCCUAUUGUCGAGGAAAAAAGAUUAUAGAACCCACCCCAUUCCUCAAAUUUCCCGUCGAAGGUGGGGAAUUUCAGUUUCGGCAAUGGAAUUCGCGUUGCGGGAAAAUCGCUGCCUUUGGGUGUCAACAGGGUUGAUGGUCGCUCGCCCUUUAUAAGAUUCCUUAAUCGAGCGACCAGGGAAAUAUAAGUUUCAAGCGCUUCUUGUUCCUGCGUGUUGCCCUCUUCGUCGAGGUUGUUUAAUUUUUCCUGGACUAGUUGGAACUGUUUCUACUCGUCCUUGAAUAGGCCUUUAUAUGUUUUCAAAGGACCAACGCUAUGAUUGUCGGAUUGUUGGUAAUCGUCGAUGCCGUUCUUUAUGAACUGGAUGUUGUCGAGAUAGUUAUCGCGUUUUCGUCGCAGGGAGUUGAUUUUUGACGGGGUCGACAUGCUUCGUGAUGAAGGUACUUCGUUAACACUUGUGAUGUUGUGAGACUGAAGUUGUUGGAACUCGUUGCACUGAUAAUGAUGGAUUUGCGUGACACUCUGUGGUAGUGGGUAUCAUUGGUGUGUACACUUUUCACUUGAUACGUAAUCGGG